This 3056-nucleotide long non-coding RNA is filed under the name Homo sapiens (human). RNAcentral describes it as "HSALNT0400353". Lineage: Eukaryota; Metazoa; Chordata; Mammalia; Primates; Hominidae. The record is from RNAcentral.
AUUUUUAGUAGAGACGCGGUUUUACCAUUUUGGCCAAGCUGGUCUCGAACUCCUGACAUGAGGUGAUCCUCCCACCUCGGCCUCCCAAAGUGCUGGGAUUACAGGUAUGGGCCACCACGCCAAGCCGUAAAAAUUAUUUCAACUGAUUAACACGCCACUUCUUAGUCUGUGAAAUGGGGAUUCCAAUUCCUAACUUCCACAUUGGUUGAAGAGAUGAAUAGGGCAAUGACUAUAAAGCCCUGUCCCUGGGACAGGACAAUGGCUCAGCACAUGCUGACUGAAUAAUUUUUUACAAGACCUGGUCUGCACCACGAAUGCAGCAGCCUGAAUAAAGCACUGAGAGAAGAAAUGUAGGGACAAUGAUGGAAGUGUCCUGAAUGAGGGCAUCAGAUCUGGGGAACGUUCCCCAUGAGAACCGGCUGAGAGGUUCUGAGCCUCAGAUGGGACAGUGUAGGGCACAAGAUGUCAGACAUUAGCAAAGGAAACCCACCAUGGUUUAGGGCAGAGAAGGCACUGCAGGAAGGCAAUACAUAAGAAGUCCCCACCUGGGGUUGGGCUGUCCUCCCUUACCCUGCAGACAGUCCUCUCACGGGUAACGUGGGAGUGGAGGAAGAGGAGCUGGGGACUAAAAUGGCUCUAAAAUGAGCUCUGCGAUCCUCAAAGGUGGCCUUGGAAAUUCCCAGUCCCAGGGUAGAGCCUCUUCUUGUUAAAAAAAAAGGACCCAAAGUCUUCCAGAGAAGAAAACUUUACGCAGGUUCCUGGGAACAGAUCCUGAGUGUGGGCAUCGCAACAGACCCUGUCCUGACAUGAUGCUAACACUAAACACAGCAUAUCCUGUCGGUGCUUCCAGAAUAAGGAAGUGUUGAUAUUCAUUAUAAUAUUUAACACUUUUUUAGAAUUUAAUAUAUGCCAGGGACGGUUCCAGGCGUGGCACAAAUUUUUCUGCAUUCAAUCUUCACAACUGUCCUAUGAAGUGACUAUUACCCACCAAUUUCAGAUGAGGAAACAGGCACAAAACAUUUAAAUGCCUUUCUCAAAGCAACACAGCCAAGAAAGUGAUAGAGCUUGGGUUUCAACUCUCACUGUAAAGGACUAUGUCUUAACCAGUAGGCAUGGCUAUGACAUUCCUCAAUGAAUCUGCACAGAUUAGGAGGGGAUCUGGGUCAAGCUAGAUUAGCUUGCAAGGUCAUGAGGUAUAUCUUGACUGAUGGGUCUCUCUACUUGGGGGUUCUGCUGACAAUUUUUCCAUAAUGAAAUGAUUAAAAUCAGUUAUUUGGAUGGUCAGUCCACAGCCCCAGAGACAUUUAAAAAAACUGCUGGGCCCAAUGGUUGCUGUUACUCCCACUCCAAUAACCGAGGAAGCCCUACCAACCUGGUGAGGACUAAAUUCACCUUUUUUCCCUUGCCCAAAUGCCUAUGUAUGAGGCUUGGGGAAUCCUGCCCGAGAAACCAUAAAAUCUCAUCAGAUGAGUUUUAUUACUCUUAUAUAAUGAGGCUCACUUUCCAACCUGACUCUGGUACAGCAUCACAUGACAGCAGAUGCUGAAGGAAAUUAUUUUACCCCAAAAUAUACUUCUUUGACAUGUUUUGAAGUGGCUGCCACAGGGGCAACAGAUUGAAAUGGAUAGCCCCGCAAAGCUAUCUUUAGUGGGAAAAUUUGCAUCUGCAGCGAAUCUCCAUUAAUGUAGCCAGACCUCCUUUGUUCUAAGCCUUUCUUAGGUCUGGAAGAGACAGCCAGCCUGACGCGCGGUGGCUCACGCCUGUAAUCCCAGCACUUUGGGAGGUAGAGGUGGGUGGAUCACCUGAGGUCAGGAAGUCAAGACCAGCCUCAGCAACAUGGUGAAACCCCAUCUCUACUAAAAAUACAAAAAUUAGCCAGGCGUGGUGGCGGGCGCCUGUAGUCCCAGCUACUCAGGAGGCUGAGGCAGGAGAACUGCUCAAACCUGGGAGGUGGAGGUUGCAGUGAGCUGAGAUCACGCCACUGCACUCUAGCCUGGGCGACAGAGCAAGACUCUCUCUAAAAACAAAAACAAAAACACAAAAACCCAAAAAACUGAAAACAGACAUUUACCAUCUAUUCUGAGAGUUGCCAACUAAGAGGCUUCAUCUACAUAAUAAGAACUUUGAUCUACGCAAUCCCCUUAACUCUGGCAUGCUUCUGAUUCCAGUCUUCAGGCAGUAGCUUAAGUCUCUCAACCAACUGUCCACUAAAGAAUCCCUAAGUGCCCCCAUGAGGUGUAAACCCUUUGGAGAUAUACCAGCUUUUUGGGAGGAACCCGUGUAUAUCUUUCUCUUAUUGAUUUAUGAUUUUCUUUUUGGAGGCAGGAUCUCGCUGUGUUACCCAGGCUAGCGUGCAGUGCAGCCAACAUAGCUGGUUACAGCCUCCACCUCCUGGACUCAACUGACUGGGCCUCCCAAGUAGCUGAGGCCACAGGCAUGGGACACCACGCCCCGCUAAUUUUUUUAUUUUUCUAAUUUCAUGUAGAGACAGGGUCUUGCUGUGCUGCCCAGGCUGCUCUGGAACUCCUGGCCUCCCAAAGUGCUGGGACUACAGGCAUGAGCCACACUGCUCAGCCUGAUUUAUGACUUUACCUGAAAUUCCUGUCUCCCUGAAUUGUAUAAAAUUAACCUGCAAGCCUGACCAUCUCGGGCACUUUCACAGGACCUCUUGAGGCUGAAUAACCUGGGCCACAGUCACUCAUACUGACUAGGAAUAAACCUUUUUAAAUAUAUUUUGGCAGAACCCGGAUUUUGCCGUCAUUAGCAAGGCCCCAGGGAAGAGGCCACCUGGGUCCCCACAGCCACCUCACCUCCCGCGGACGCUGCCCCACGCAGAUCCCCCCCCCCCCCCACCAAAACACGUCUAGACGUGCCCGUGCGAGGACAUUUGGUCCCGGCCUACACUCCUAUCCGCGGAAGAUCGUCCCAAGGCGGGGUGCUCCCAACCCAAAGCAGCGGCCCUUCCCCAAAACACGCGGGCGAAGUCCUCCCCUGUCCCGCCUCCCACAAUAAAGUCUGGAGCAUCAGAGUCGGAGGGAACCCGAGUCGGACCUAGC